CCCGCCGCUCCCCCGGGGCCGGGGCUCGCUGCCGGGGCUCGCUGCGGCGGCGUUUGUGCUCCGACGCUUUUCCUGUUUUUUUUCACAGUGCUGGCAAGGAUGGAUGGAUGAAAGAAGGAAUUAUUUCAAGGGCCAAUGGUUUAACAUAUUUCACCUCCAGUUCUAACAACCCAAAGACAAGGAGCAGAGAGACCUUGCUGGGAGCAAGAGAUCUCUGCCUAAGCCCCUUCUGACACAGAGUUUAUGCAAUUUGGCACUAAAAUGCUCAAAGCUGGAAUUUAUCCUGCAGAUGUAACCACAGCCACGGGCCUCUGGAUGGACACAAACCCCCCACCAGGCUGCAAGUCCAAGCACCUCUGUCAGCAUGUGAUGGAGAGGGCAGAGAAGAUGCAGCCAGGACACCACACUGAGAUCUCGUUUGACAGGGCUGAUGUAAAUCAAAGUGCACAGAAAGUUUUGGAAUAAAUGACAGGGAAAGCUGGAUGCUGUCCAGGGGGGUGGGAUUGAGGCACUCUGUGGGGCUGGGGGUGAGUGGGAAAGGGAGCAGUGCUGGUGUGCAAGCCUCCCCUCAGCCUCCUGCUGCCGAGACAACUGGAUUAAAUUAGAGCAGAAUGAGGACUGGGGAUUACAGAGAAACAGAGGCAUCAACAGUUUUCAUUUCUCCCCCACAAUUAUUUAUAAUGAUAUGGGAAAAUGAAGAGCAGAAUGGAUUCAGCAAACGAGGAAUAAGAGACAAACCACAGGAUCCAGCACCAGCCAUACUUUCCAUGGCAUUUCAGCCUGUUGUGCCACAUCACAAAGAAGUAUCUGCAAUUCUUGGAUGUCUAGCAUCUCUCAUUUGAUCCUAUUCAGGUAACUCUUGAGUACAUGACAAGACAGUUAUCAAGGCUCUCAUGUUUAGAUUAUAGCAGCCUUUUUUAACUUCCCACACAAAUAAGUACACUCUCUUUUGCCAAAGCCAAAUGAACAAAUGAGACGCUGUCGUGACAUCCCAGGAAUAAAAUGUUACAGUAAAUCACCCUGGCAUGGAAAGCAGUUCUACAGUCAAGCAAAGCAAACUGCAAAUGUCAGCUUGUUCACUGGUAAUCCUGCUGAAAAGUAACCCAAAGAGCAGUAUUAGUGUUUGCUAACUUGCUCUGACAGUGGCUUUGCUAAAGAAUCAAUGGACAAAAUAGACAGAUGAGAAGUGUUCCACAUUAAAGACAGCAAAGAUAAAAAGACUAGUUUAAACCUCCAAAGUAAGGCAGCCAGUGCUGUCCUCCAUCCUCUUGAGACUACCAGGCAGUCUACAGAAGCCCUCCAAGAAAUGUAGCAUUUUUCACUCUUCACAAGCUUCUGAUUCCAGACAUCCCUACUGCUGAAGUGGUACUGCCAACAAGAGCACCUUUUAAAACAGCAAUCUCCUACCCCUGGCUUUUCUGAUUCACUAUGAAAUUAAAGAAUUCAGCUUUUAAUAUGAUGUGGAGCAAGGAGUCUUCCCCAACUGUCAAACCUAAUAUGUGCUACAAAAGGUUUUAGCUAACAAUACAGAUUUAAAAAAAAAAAAAGCAAGUUUGCACUCCCAGUGCCAGCAGAUGGAUGAGUGACCCUCUUGAGACAGGGACUAAAUUACAGAUGGUCAUGGGGAGGUCAGGGACACAACAGUGCCUCGGCACUCAGCUGCCACUGCCGGGCCACACCUCUGACUCUGCCGCUCCAUAAACUCUGCCCUUGCACCCAGCCGUGCCUCCUUCCCGCUGAGCUAAACUGUGCCUCCGUUAAAAUUACCCUUCCUCUCCUCCCAGGGCUUCCUCUGUAAUUUUCUGCUCAAAGUCAAAGGAAAUAACAAAGCCAGGGCUGCUCUCCAGCCUCCCCCAUUCAGCGCUGUCCCCUCCAUGACAGCUCUGUCUCCAGCCUUGCUCUCCCAGCAAAGCCAGGGAUCUUCCCAGCUGACUUCUCCUCUCAGCUUGAAGGACUUCCCCAGAGUGGAGGCAUCUGCAGGCAGGAACUUACAUGGGUUUUCAUGACUUUCCUCUGACGUCUGCCAGGGACUUUCAGGUUUACACAAAAAAUAGCCACUACCAGGGCCAGCAAAAAAAAAGCUUUCAGCCAACUGAAAGAAUUAAUAAUAGGUUAAUUCUUUCAUUUCCAGUCCUGAGGCAAUAUUCUCUCUCUUUCUCAUGUUUUACUGGUCUUUUUAAACUGAGUUCUAGGGAAAUGGGUGGAAGAUGUGGAAAUCCUAUUGCAAAAGCACCUGCCCGCUCUUUUCCCCAGAGAGCCACACAGAGAACAUUCUAUUAUUUAGUUAAUUGCAAAGAAACAAUUACAAAGGAACUUGGCAAACUCUCUCUAAUCACAGCAAGACCCACUGCAGUCCAGUAAGUUCAGCAAAUUAGCAAAUAAGUGAAUACAAAAAGGAAAGAAUAACACA
This is a long non-coding RNA of Passer domesticus (house sparrow), 2410 nucleotides long. RefSeq lists it as uncharacterized. The transcript is spliced from 2 exons. NCBI's taxonomy places the organism in Eukaryota, Metazoa, Chordata, Aves, Passeriformes, Passeridae. The record is from RefSeq and is a predicted model, not a curated record.